Ctenopharyngodon idella (grass carp) is the source of this 675-nucleotide long non-coding RNA. RefSeq lists it as uncharacterized. The transcript has 3 exons. The record is from RefSeq and is a predicted model, not a curated record. NCBI's taxonomy places the organism in Eukaryota, Metazoa, Chordata, Actinopteri, Cypriniformes, Xenocyprididae.
GUGAAAGUCCGGUAUUGCAGACGGAUAAUGUUGCGUGAUUCAGCCAGGGGUGCAUUUCUUGAAAGCGUCGUUAGUCAGCUACGGUUGUUUGUCCCAUUGAACUCUAUUGAUAACGACAGAACUUGCGACCAUAGUUCGCUUUGGGAAAUGCACCCCUGUCCGACAAUCGCUCUUUUCUCUUUGGCAACAUUAUUCACUGCCUCUAUCGAUGCUGAUGGAUCAAAGAUCGAGGCAAACCAUGGAGAAGAUGUUACACUGUCCUUCCCAAUGGAUAAAGCAGAGGAAGCUGAUAGAUUGAGGAUAAUGUUUACAUCAGAAUCUACGAAUGAGACUCGUUUGAUCGCACUGCGCUGUUCCGGUUCUGAAAUCUGUGAUCUUGUGAAAACACCUGGAGUCAAACUGAUGGUUGAAGGAGGAUUCGUGAAUGUAACAAUUCAGAAAGUGAACAGCUCCAGAUCAGGACUCUAUAAAGCAGAACCUGUUGGAGAGCACAUAGGCAUACCUGAUGUGACUCCUAUUACACUUGUUGUCAAAGCACCAUUUACCUCCACUACAGCUCCUCCACACUCCUCCACCCCAAAACCUCCCGACUCCUCUCACCUCCUCUGGCUGUGUGCUUUAAUUCCUCUAGUCAUUGUCAUCUCAGGGGUCGUUUGCUUCUGGAAACGCAGGAGG